Molecule: small nucleolar RNA, 144 nt
Organism: Nannospalax galili (Upper Galilee mountains blind mole rat)
Lineage: Eukaryota; Metazoa; Chordata; Mammalia; Rodentia; Spalacidae
Source: Ensembl
ACACUUAAGUCUUUCCUGAUUCUGCUGCUUGGUGCUGGUCUAGAGAUAACAGUGCUACUAGACUAGGAGCGGAGACUGUUGGGAUAUCCAGGCAGGUUGUUUCUAUUUGUCUUGGGGCCUCUCUCUUACAGCUCUGUUAUAUUU